GUCUUGUCCAGUGAAAAGUGCUUUUCCAGGAAAUUGCCAUACUUUAAGCAAACAGUUAUUGUGGUGUCUUACAAAAUGAAAUGGGAGAAAUUGCCACACAUUCAGCACAAAAUUAUUAUGGCAUCUUGCAAAAUGUAGUGGAAAUGAAGCUAAAUAACUGAGCUGCCUCCAGGGAACCGCUCUCCCAGUGUGAAAAAUCUGUUACAUGGAUUACAUAGUUGAAGUCCAAUGUUUGCUUUUGAGCAAGAAUAGAAAAACUGAGGUAUUAGAUAUAUAUGGCUUGAAUUCUCCCAGGCACAGGCAAAGGAUGAUGAGAAGAAAAAGAGAAAAAUUAAAAGAAAAUGCUACGGUUCUCUACUGUAAAAUCCUAGGCAAAGAAGGAAGAAACUCAUAUUCAUGUAACUGAAGACUUUGUGGCAAUGUUUUAACUUUUAACAAGGUACAUUGAAAGACUUUUGAAUAGAGGAGAAUUUUAAA
Molecule: long non-coding RNA, 477 nt
Organism: Pseudopipra pipra
Lineage: Eukaryota; Metazoa; Chordata; Aves; Passeriformes; Pipridae
Exons: 3
Source: RefSeq, a predicted model, not a curated record